UAGGGAAUCUUCGGCAAUGGGGGGAACCCUGACCGAGCAACGCCGCGUGAGUGAAGAAGGUUUUCGGAUCGUAAAGCUCUGUUGUUAAGGAAGAACGAGUGUGAGAAUGGAAAGUUCAUACUGUGACGGUACUUAACCAGAAAGGGACGGCUAACUACGUGCCAGCAGCCGCGGUAAUACGUAGGUCCCGAGCGUUGUCCGGAUUUAUUGGGCGUAAAGCGAGCGCAGGCGGUUAGAUAAGUCUGAAGUUAAAGGCAGUGGCUCAACCAUUGUAGGCUUUGGAAACUGUUUAACUUGAGUGCAGAAGGGGAGAGUGGAAUUCCAUGUGUAGGUGAAAUGCGUAGAUAUAUGGAGGAACACCGGUGGCGAAAGCGGCUCUCUGGUCUGUAACUGACGCUGAGGCUCGAAAGCGUGGGGAGCGAACAGG
This 427-nucleotide ribosomal RNA is filed under the name Bacteroidota bacterium. RNAcentral describes it as "Bacteroidetes bacterium partial 16S ribosomal RNA". It matches the Rfam family "Bacterial small subunit ribosomal RNA", at positions 355 to 776 of the family's 1533-position model. The record is from RNAcentral. Lineage: Bacteria; Pseudomonadati; Bacteroidota.